Molecule: non-coding RNA, 20 nt
Filed under: Arabidopsis thaliana (thale cress)
Lineage: Eukaryota; Viridiplantae; Streptophyta; Magnoliopsida; Brassicales; Brassicaceae
Source: RNAcentral
UAAAAGUGCAUUUGGGUCAU